ACUCCUACGGGAGGCAGCAGUGGGGAAUAUUGGACAAUGGGCGAAAGCCUGAUCCAGCCAUGCCGCGUGUGUGAAGAAGGUCUUCGGAUUGUAAAGCACUUUAAGUUGGGAGGAAGGGCAGUUACCUAAUACGUAAUUGUUUUGUACGUUACCGACAGAAUAAGCACCGGCUAACUCUGUGCCAGCAGCCGCGGUAAUACAGAGGGUGCAAGCGUUAAUCGGAAUUACUGGGCGUAAAGCGCGCGUAGGUGGUUUGUUAAGUUGGAUGUGAAAUCCCCGGGGCUCAACCUGGGAACUGCAUUCAAAACUGACUGACUAGAGUAUGGUAGAGGGUGGUGGAAUUUCCUGUGUAGCGGUGAAAUGCGUAGAUAUAGGAAGGAACACCAGUGGCGAAGGCGACCACCUGGACUAAUACUGACACUGAGGUGCGAAAGCGUGGGGAGC
RNAcentral lists this ribosomal RNA (444 nucleotides) under uncultured bacterium. Its description in RNAcentral is "bacterial SSU rRNA". It matches the Rfam family "Bacterial small subunit ribosomal RNA", at positions 335 to 769 of the family's 1533-position model. The record is from RNAcentral.